CCAGAAUUCAGCAGUCUGCAACCCAAAAGAGGGCCUUCACCACCACCUGACCAUGAUGGCACCUUGAUCUUGCACCUCCAGCCUCCAGAACUGUAAUGCUAAACGUCACUGACAAGUUGACAAUUGGGAAACCAGGUCACAGCCUUGAGAAUCACCCCCCAAACCGAUCCAAUGAGAGGGGUGCAACAUUGCGGCAAGACCAGAGAACGUACUUCAGAAGUGAGGCAUAAAAAGACCUAUUUUUAUGCGUGCAUUAACAAAAGCAUCCAGUGAAAUAGAAAGGUAACUGCCCUAUGAUUUGUACAUAUGGAUAAUAUGUACACUCAAUUUAACCAAUUUUUAGAUUUUAUAUUAAGGAAAAUACACAAAUCAUAAUGAAUUUUCACAAACUGUAUACUUCUCUGUCCUCAAAACUCAUCAAGAUACAGAGAAUUGCUAAGAUCCCCCGAUUUCCCAUUUAUUUUCUCCAUCUCAAAGAUAACCACUAAGUUUCAUGCAUCAAAAAUUAGUUUUGCUAAUUUUGAACUUUACACAAAUGGAAACCUAAACUCUGUGCUCCAUUGAGAAAAGUAAUAAGAUUUUAAAACACUCUAAAUUUUCUUGUUUUAUGAUAUUAAGGUAAAAAGUGUCUUACCCAUUCACUUCUUAAAAGUUAUCCUGAAAUGACCAGAUUAAGAAACAUCAUUGCAAAUUUUAUCCUUGAAAUAAUUGGCAGAUAUGUAUAGCAAAAAGAGGAAACAUUCUAAAUUGCCAUCAACAGCAGAAUGAAAAAAUAAAUGGUGAUUGUUUUUUUAUACAAAGAGUUGGAAUACAGCUAUGAAAAUGAGCAAAUCAUUGUUACAUGCUUCAACAUGAAAGAAUCAUGCAAACGUAAUGUUGAGUGAAAAAAGCUAAACACAAAAAUUGAG
Molecule: long non-coding RNA, 908 nt
Filed under: Equus caballus (horse)
Lineage: Eukaryota; Metazoa; Chordata; Mammalia; Perissodactyla; Equidae
Description: lncRNA (ENSECAG00000051132.1)
Source: RNAcentral